UCAAAAACAUCUCUCCCUGAUUAAUCGGAUUGGGGGUAGGCCCUGCCCAGUGGAAGUAGUCUAAACGGAAAAUAUUUUUAAAGUAGCGUAAUAAUUCGUCCCUUAAUUAGGGUCUGUAUGAAUGGGUUGACGUGGAGAAACUGUCUUGGAAAAACAAGUUGAAAUUUUCUUUUUAGUGAAAAGCCUAAGAUUUAAUUAAAAGACGAGAAGACCCCGUCGAGCUUGAGAGAGAUAAGGAAUUUUUCUUUUAUCCAUGUUUGUUGGGGUAAUAGAGGAGAAAUCUAACCUCCACUCUUUAAACUAGAUCCACCUGUUGGUGAUAAAAAGAAAAAGUUACCGCGGGGAUAACAGCGCAAGACGGCCCCGGAGUUCUUAUCUAAGGCUGUAAGUGCGACCUCGAUGUUGGAUUAGGGCAGGCUUAAGGGUGCAGUAGCUCUUAAAGCGGGACUGUUCGUCCUUUAAACCCCUACAUGAUCUGAGUUA
This 483-nucleotide ribosomal RNA is filed under the name Fulvia dulcis. Its description in RNAcentral is "partial 16S ribosomal RNA". It matches the Rfam family "Bacterial large subunit ribosomal RNA", at positions 1807 to 2612 of the family's 2925-position model. The record is from RNAcentral. Lineage: Eukaryota; Metazoa; Mollusca; Bivalvia; Cardiida; Cardiidae.